Long non-coding RNA from Ailuropoda melanoleuca (giant panda), 7752 nucleotides. RefSeq lists it as uncharacterized. The transcript is spliced from 3 exons. The record is from RefSeq and is a predicted model, not a curated record. Lineage: Eukaryota; Metazoa; Chordata; Mammalia; Carnivora; Ursidae.
GUGGAAUUGCUGGAUCAUAUGGUGGUUCUAUUUUUAAUUUCUUGAGGAACUUCCAUGCUGUUUUAAAGAGGCAUAAUUUAUAACUGAGAUCCAGUGAGCUGUCCAGGACUACUGAGGUAUCUCGCUUCAUUACCGUGAAAGUUUUGGCCACACGAAUAUAGGGUCAUGCUAAAUUGCAAAAUCAGCAUGUGGUGUUAUGAAAAGAUCACUGACUCCGGCAUCAGGAGACCUGAGUCUUCAUCCCGUGGGAUAAUCAAUCAUAAUCUUCGUUUGUGAGCAUUACUAUAUCACUACGUGCAGGCAUCUUUGAACAUACUUUCUCUAGCCUGUGCAAUCCGGCAGCCAGGAAGAUAUUAUCAUCCUGUGUUCAAGUUGAAGAAACAAUUUUGGGGAGAUUAAGGGACCCUCCCAAGGUCACUAAACUAGUAAAUAGCAGAGUAAAAAUUCAAGCUCAAGACUGUCUCCUGAGGCUCUGUCUGCUGAACGCUCCAUAUUUCCCAUAGCUUUGUCUUUCCUUCUACCAUUCCUCCUUCUAGGAAUAUCCUUUUUGCUCACCUCAGUCUGUAUGACUUUUGGUUAUUCUUGAAGCCUGACUCCAGUCUAAGAUUUUGAGGAAGACUUCUAGGAACACUCCCAUCCACUGGUCUCUCCCCGUUGUAACCUCACAGCCCUUCUUAGUGCUGCUCCCUUGCUCACACUUGCUUAUAUGUCUCGUAUGUUCUCUGUAGCCUUUGUCACUUCCUAUUUAUUGUGAAUGGUGUUUUCAGUGUGACACCUUUCCCUCUCUCCUCUCGCUCAUUUAUGAAUUUGGCAGACGUUUGGGGAAAAUCAUUAAAAUAUAGAAAAAUACCAUAUAUCUUACUACCCCAAAUUAACAAAAUUUACCAUUUAAAAUUCCUGGUUUCAAAUAUUUUUCUUUAAAUAAAGAAAUAGCACCUUACCAAUCAAGUUGAGGUUUACAUUGCACGUUUUCCAAUCCCUUUCACCUUCUCCUUCUCCAGGGGUAACCACUAAUCUAAAUUUGGUACCUAACCUCUCAAUCUCUGUUUUUUAUUUUUUGUUACACACUGUGUAUUUGCAAGCAAUACAUAAUGUCAGUUUGUAAUCUCUUUUGCUAAAGAUAAUGUAAUUAUUGCAUAUAUCUUUUGAAAAUUUGCUUUUUCAUUCAAUAUAUUUUAAAAACUAGCCAUUUUACUAUUUUUAAAUUAAUUUAUUCAUUUAAAUUGUAGUAUUCCAUUUCAUGAACAUAAAUGUCUUAUUUAUCUAAUCCUCUAUUUAUGGGCAUUGAGGCUCUUAUAGGAAGCUACUUCAGUGUAUUGGUUUCUCCUUUACUAUUAGACACUAAAUUCUCUGACUGAGGGACUGUGGAUUAUGCCUCUUUUUGCUUAGCACUGUCAUCGCAAUCCAACAAAUGUAUGCUGAAUGAGUUGAUGAAAAUAUCUGAGCAAGUGAAGGUCUUCAACCUUGAGAAGGUUAACAUGAUUGAAAGCAGGUAUAGGGUGGCAUCAAAGAAGUCAGUUGAAAUAACAAUUUUUUUCUUGUAUUUAUGGGGAUGGAAAAGUAGGGUAAUAAAAAGCUACUUGAAAUAAUACUGAGGGGCAUGUGGGUGGCUCAGUCAGUUUAGCGUCUGACUCUUGGUUUCCGCCUGGGUUGUGAUCUCAUGGGUCAUGAGAUAGAGUCCCACGUCAGGCUCCAUGCUCGGUGUGUGGGGUGUUUGCUUGAGGAUUAUCUCCCUCUGCCCUUACACCCACUCAUGGGUGCUCCCUCUGUCUCUCAAAAAAAAAAAAAAAAGAAGUAAUAGAUGAGGAGGGGUAAGUUAGUAAAUUUUUUUGUGAUCCUAAUGAAAUUUGUGAAAGACUAGUAACAGAAAAUAUGUAAAAUAAUUGAGGAAGCUACAAGGAAAAAUGCUUAGAAAUGUGCUUAAGUAUGUCAGUGCUGAUUAUGGUCAGACGGUGGAAGUUCUGUAUCUACUUCUAACUGGGCCAUCUCCAUGAUUCACCUUGGAGAAAUCUAAUUACCCUUGAAUAUUUGACCUUCAAUGUGUCAACAUAAACAGUUUUUCAACCUGGUUUCAUGGAGAUCUGGCAGCUGUGCUUAACAGAUAACAUUUUCCUUGGAGGUAUUAAAGGCCAUGGUCUAUUUCUUUAAUUUUGUAUCUUCCCUUCUGACCCUUUUGCACUUUUGUUACUUUCUGAUUCUUAUCCAAAUGGAUAAUAUCCAAUGACGGGGAGAGAGGUGUGAAGUCAGGAGGUAGGGGUGACUGCAGGGAAGAAAUGAGUUUAUACUUGUGAAACCUUAGGGUAGUGUCUAUCACAGGUUUUGAUCGCAAGACCUGUUAAUUACUACUCCUUUCUUUUAUAUUUCUUACAGCAGAUAUAAAUUGUUAUUUUAUAGGCUCUAUUCUAAGUCUGCCAGAAUGAAUGCAGAACUCUUCAUGUUUCUUCAGCCCAAGGUUAUGAUUUGUUCUGAGAAUUCUGGUGGGCAAAGAGCAAGGGUCUCCACAGUGAGAAGAAGUGAACUCCAAACACUCUCCAUCCAUCAGGGUUAUCAAAUGAUAAGCAGGGACAGCAGGAUUGGGCUUUGAUUGGAGAAUUAGAAUGAAGCUGUAAUUAAGCUUAUUAUUUUAUAUGUAGCUUCUUGUGAUGUCUAUUGUAAUUUGGUAGCUAUAGAUCCACUCUCCCCUACUCGCCCAUCACUCAGUGAUCUAUUAAUUCAACAUUUAUUUGAUGAAUAUAAAGCACGUACGAGGGGCCUGAGAUGAUUCCAGGGACUUGAGAUAUGUGGAUGAACAAACAGGAAAGAAUUCCUCCCCUCCCAUAGCUUACGUUCUAGCUUGGGAGGACAGAAAAUGAACAAAAAAUAUGGUUAGUGAAUUGUAUAGCACAUGGGAAGGUGGUAAGUGCUAUGGAAAAAGAAAAGGUAGAUCCAGAUAAGGGAGAUCAGGAGGGCCUGAUAGAGGUAGGAUGGUCAAGUUUCAUUGACAAGGUGAGAAGUGAGCAAAAAAAUUGAAGGAGGUGAGGAAAUUGCCCAUGCAAAGAUAUGUGGGGGCAAAAGAGCUGACACCAAGGCCUGUCGUGUGUGGUGUGAGAAGCGCUGCUUGCCUGGAGUGAGUGAGCAAGGAAGGAAGCAAUCGGAGGUGAAAUCAGAGGGGUUAUGGAGGCCAGAUGAGGUAGGGUCUAUAGGCCAUUGUGAAAAUGUUGGUGAUCCAAUGGAGGGCUCAAAUUAGUGUUUCAAAAGACCACUCUGACUUCUGUGUUGAGAACAGGUUCUAAGGGACAAGAUCCAGGAGAGAGAUGGCAGUCGAGGUAAGAAGUAAUUCAAUUCUGACACAUUUUUAAACUAGAGCCAGUAUCCCAAUGGAUUAGAUGUAGGGUAUGAGAGAAAUAAAGGGACUAAAAUGCCCCAAAGACUUUUUUGACAGAGCAUCUGAAAAGAUGGAGCUUCCAUCAGCUGGACUGUCUGGAUUAGGUUUGGGCAAGAACAUGAAGGAUACUUUUUUUAUAAGUCUAUUAGCCAUCCGCAUAUACCAAUCUGGAGUUCAGGAAAAAGGUCUUGGUUAAAGAUGAUAUAAACUUGGGGUUUUUGGCAUAUAGAUAGAGUUUAAAACCAAGGGAUUGGAUAAGGUCACCAAGGGAGUGAACGCACAUAGAAAAGAAGACCAACAACUCAGUGCUGGGAGCCCUCCAACAUUAGGGCCUUGGGGUGCAGAAGAGAAAUCAGCAAAGAAAAAUGAGGAGUGACCAGUGAGGUAGGGAGAGAGGUGGGUGAGUCAUAGAUGCCCAACAGAGAAGGUGUAUUAAGGAGGGAGUGAUCACAUAUGUCAAAUGAUGACAAUGAAUUAAGUCAGAUGAGGAGUAACAGUUGACUCAUGGAUCUAACUCUGUGAAAGUCAUUUGAUAACAUUGAUGAGAGCAGUCAUGGGAUAUGUGGAAAUCAAUGGUUAAGGGAGAAUGGCAGGAGAUGAAUUGCAGAUAGCAAGUAGACUAAUAGUCAAGACUAGUCUCCUAAAUGGAAUUUGAGCACUCUGUGCUCAAAUACUCUUCCCCUGGCUCAUUAACGUGCCCAAAAUACCAAAGGCAGAAUUUCCUCACUUCCCUUUAGGAGAGCCCCUGUAUUCAACCACUGAAAAUGUAAAUAUCUUGAAAUUGGUAUCUCAAAGUUACUAAUAUUGUGGUAUGGAUUUGUCUGUUUGCACUAAUUCUUGGGGUGACAAUGAUAUUGUAGAAUUUCAGGGCUAUGUGAUUUUAGGUAUGUCAUAGCCCAGUCCCUAUUAACAGAGGUAUAUAUAGGGAAAGUGACUGGCUCAAGGUCACAUACUUGAUGGAUGACAGAGCUGACAUGAGGAUCCAGGAUUUCUGUUCCAGUGCCUUUUCAAUCUCAUAACAUUUUAUCUUGAAUUUGAUCCAACAUGUAUGUAGGACAAGUGAAGGCAGCAGGAGAUGUUAUGGAAAUGUCUGUUAUGUGAAAGAAAGAAUGAAUGAACAAAUAGAAGAGCAAAGACAAGGCAAAGUUUUAAAUGUAUGGGAAAACCAGUUGCGGGUUCAUCAGGCUGAUGGUAGGUAAGAUUUGCUGCGAGGUACAAGAGAAAAAAGCCAGGGUGAGAAAUCGUAACAGCUAAGGGAGCAAGAAGUGAGAGCUGCACACUGCAGCAUAAGUGCUUUUUACCUUGAAAGCAUCAGAGAUGUUUAAAAUUAUUUUAAAAGUAAGUGCAAACUGUUAAUGAGGGUUAAUGGAAGGGACUGAAGAUAGAGCAGCUCUUUAGUAACAAGAAUUGGGAUGAUGGCAUUUUUUAAAUCCUUGCUGACAACAUAAGAAAACUACUGACUGGGAGGCAGCAAGUUUACAACUGCCUGAAAAUAACCAGAUACAAGAGGUUUCAACUUGCUGGAACUCUUAUUAUAUGCUUGAAUGACUCCUGGAACAAAAGAAAUCUGUGCAUGAUUGUUUAGGAAAGUGUAAGAUAAACAAAGCGUAUGUUUUCUAACAUCUGACGAUAAUCUGAUAGCUGUAUUAUAUUGGUCUCUGCUCAUUUUAAGGUUAUGUGAUGAAGAUGACUUUAGUGGUUCUUAAGUUCAGUACAUAAAUAAAUGAUGUUAAGACUCCACUUUAACUUAUGCCCCUCAAUUUUUCAUACAUAUUUGCUGCUUUUCUUUCGGAAAAGAAAAUGUACAUUACUUGUUCUCCUGGAAACAUUCCAUCCUUUUUUAUGCUUUUCCUUUCUCUUUUGAAAGAUCCCCCUCACACUGCAUAAAUAGAAAUGUCCCUGAGAUUCAUUUGAUUUCAUGGAUGGCAGAGUGCUCAUUUCAAAUAUCUUUGGGAGAACCAGAUAAAAUAGCUACACUAUACUGCAUUACCUGAUUUAGUGCUGGGGACCGUUUGAGGACUAGAUGGCUAUGGGAAAUUGUAAUGGGAAACUCAAGUUGGUUUUCACUUCAAGUUCAGUGCUUUGAAUCCAGUGGAGUUGAGGGUAGUCAAAAGUUAUCACUCUCUGAUUUGACUGUUCACUGCUCCAAGGGAAAUAAGCCAGUGGUGCCUCUGUUUUGCAGGUGGGAAGGAAAACGCUCCUAUCACCUUGGUACUAAAGGGCAGUUCCUGAGCAGUGUCAGCAGAGAACUGGCUGGGAAAGGGGACUUGUCCUUUCUCUCUUGCAGCCAUGACUUUGUCAGGGCUAAGGCAUACUGGUGAAGCAGUUGGGGAAAUCCUACACUUCUGUUUAUCGGGCUGCAUCUAUUCUUGGGAGAAAGAGAAGCCAUCUAUUUCCAACGCUGUCAAUCUGGUAUCCCCAGCCACCACCAGAAGCCACUUCAAUUUAUUUCUCCAGUUCUUUACAGUUCUCUUUUGCAGAGAGUUUAUUGUAAAGAUGUAUUAACCAGUAAGACGCCUUUAGGAUAAAUUGUGUUCAACUUGGGAAGGAGAUAGCAACUUUGGCAAAGGUGCCCACGGUAGUUUAAGUAGGAGAAGAAAGUAGUAGAGCUUGACGCUGCUGGAAGUAUCACUGUGUCUGUCCGCUCUCUUGGUCCGCUCUCUUUCUAUUUGCAUGAGCUUUGCAUGAGCUUUGCAUUGCUUAUUCCCUCUUCUCACUAGCUUCCUUCCCUUCAUACUUAACAUUGCUCAUUCACUCUUGCAACUAUUAUUUAUUUAUUUACAUUUACAUUUAUACUUAUACAUUGCUCAUUCACUCUUGCAACUAUUAUUUAUUUAUUUACAUUUACAUUUAUACUUAUAUUUUUAUUUAUUUAUUGUAUUUGGUUAGUUAGUCAGUUCCUGCUCUCUUGAUUUUUGCUACCUACAAGGAGGAAGUAGACAUUCCUAUAAUAAUAUUGGAGCUUUCCCUCUGUAUUUGGUCAUAGGUACAGCAGGCUAGCUCCCCCCAGGGGAGGGACAUAGCACUUGAUCUUAACUAGCUAGGAUUAGGUGAUUUCCCUUGGCUUCAAGCUGUAUACAUAGAUUUCCCAGGGAAACCGAGUAGGGCCAGUUUCCCUUGGUGGCCAACCCUUGGCUUGAGGCAGAGAGGAAAAUGAUGUUUAGUUCCUUUUUCUCUGCAAACACAGAAUCAUUCAUGUGAAGUCUUAUUUUAUAAGUUUAAAUGAGCCUUCAACAGUGUUCUAGGCACUGACAGUAUUCGGAAGUCUGACUAAGCAAUGUCUCCAGCCUAGAGAAUUACUAGUGUAGGACAUUCAGCAGUGGGAAUCCUUGGGAAGGUACGACCGGUCCUUAAGAGCUAUGGAUAACGUAGUUGAUAACCAAUUUCUCCCUUUGCCAGGUGGAGCAAUGUAAAAUUAGGGAAAAAAAAUCCUAUGUGCUUUGGCAAACAAUUUUGAGUCUGCUGCUAAAAAAAUGAUGGAUAAAUUAAAAGAUGAGAGAAAUACAUCCAAGUGACUUUAACAGUCGAAUGCUGAGCAGUAAUUACACAUCAAGUCUGGAAUCACCAAACUGAAACAUAGGCUUGUCUCUUCUUUUUAUGUGUAGUCUGAGGUUUGUUUGAAAUUCUAAAGCAUUGUGCAGAUUAUUGGGAAAUGACUACAUGUAAAAAAGCAGAGGAAAACUUAAAAUGGGUCUAUUUUAGGUUAUUCUUUAGAUUUUCUGUAGGUUCUUAGGGAACUUUUGAAGCAUUUUGUUUCUAGUAUUAUUUCUUCCUAUGUCACUAGAUAUGCUUACUAAGCUUGGAAAAUGUGCAAGGGCUAUGUGACAUGGUCAUGACAUUGAAGUCCUUUUACUACUUUACCUUGUAGGACUCUAAAACACCAUCUGGUAGACAUUAGUCUCUUUAAUGCCCCUUGAGCAAGUCUCAACCCUAGAUUGUUAUCCCAUAGCAGAGGUCCUUUCCCUACCUUUGCUUCACCGAUUGACAUCUUCUGAUCUUUUAGUCUUCCAUUCAAUACUUGCUUUCUCCAGAGAAUACUUAAUGAAUGAGUGAAUAAACUGGGUACCAUUUUGUAAAUAAAUCUCAGCCCAGGAUUAUGACUAGGUGCCAAAAUGCCCCUUUCUCUCCUAAAUUUGUCUUAUUUUUUUCCCUUAGAUUUGGCUCUUUUUCUUUUCACCUUUCCUUUUUUCAAUUCCUGAUAUUAAUUUUUGACCUAUUAUUGCAAUUGGAGUGAGAAUGCAAAGCACAUGGGAACAAAAGUAUUCAACAUCUUUUAUUCAUUAAUGCAAUGUUUUCUGCUUCGUAUUUUUUUAUUAUCAAUGUAAAUUUUAAUAAAUUCCAGGUAGAAUUUUUUUAAAUGUCAAAGAGGUGCACACUCUGUGCACAGA